RNAcentral lists this ribosomal RNA (537 nucleotides) under uncultured bacterium. RNAcentral's name for it is "bacterial SSU rRNA". It matches the Rfam family "Bacterial small subunit ribosomal RNA", at positions 8 to 526 of the family's 1533-position model. The record is from RNAcentral.
AGAGUUUGAUCCUGGCUCAGAAUCAACGCUGGCGGCGUGCCUAACACAUGCAAGUCGAACGCGAAAGGGGCUUCGGUCCUGAGUAGAGUGGCGAACGGGUGAGUAACACGUGGGUGACCUACCUUUGAGUGGGGGAUAACGUCCCGAAAGGGACGCUAAUACCGCAUAACAUCCUGUCCUUGAACGGAUGGAGAUCAAAGCCGGGGAUCGUAAGACCUGGCGCUUGAUGAGGGGCCCGCGUCUGAUUAGCUAGUUGGUGAGGUAACGGCCCACCAAGGCGACGAUCAGUAUCCGGCCUGAGAGGGCGGACGGACACACUGGGACUGAGACACGGCCCAGACUCCUACGGGAGGCAGCAGUGGGGAAUUGUUCACAAUGGGCGCAAGCCUGAUGACGCAACGCCGCGUGGAGGAUGAAGGUCUUCGGAUUGUAAACUCCUGUUGCUCGGGACGAAAAGCCUCGACCUAACACGUCGAGGUCUGACGGUACCGAGUGAGGAAGCCCCGGCUAACUCUGUGCCAGCCGCCGCGGUAAUUC